RNAcentral lists this ribosomal RNA (810 nucleotides) under uncultured bacterium. RNAcentral describes it as "bacterial SSU rRNA". It matches the Rfam family "Bacterial small subunit ribosomal RNA", at positions 8 to 796 of the family's 1533-position model. The record is from RNAcentral.
AGAGUUUGAUCCUGGCUCAGAAUCAACGCUGGCGGCGUGCCUCAGACAUGCAAGUCGAACGCGAAAGUCUCCUUCGGGGGAUAAGUAGAGUGGCGCACGGGUGAGUAACACGUAGGUAAUCUACCUUCGGGUGGGGAAUAACCCAGGGAAACUUGGGCUAACACCGCAUAAUGCAGCGGCACCACAUGGUGACAGUUGUUAAAGCGGGGGAUCUUAGGACCUCGCGCCUGAAGAGGAGCCUGCGGCGGAUUAGCUAGUUGGUGAGGUAACGGCUCACCAAGGUGACGAUCCGUAGCCGGCCUGAGAGGGCGGUCGGCCACACUGACACUGACAUACGGGUCAGACUCCUACGGGAGGCAGCAGUCGGGAAUUUUGGGCAAUGGGCGAAAGCCUGACCCAGCAACGCCGCGUGAAGGAUGAAAUCCCUCGGGAUGUAAACUUCGCAAGAAUGGGAAGAAUUAGUAGGGGUCAAUACCCCCUAUGAUGACGGUACCAUUUGUAAGCUCCGGCUAACUCCGUGCCAGCAGCCGCGGUAAUACGGGGGGAGCAAGCGUUGUUCGGAUUUACUGGGCGUAAAGGGCGCGUAGGCGGUCAGCACAAGUCAGUUGUGAAAUCUCCGGGCUUAACUCGGAAAGGUCAACUGAUACUGUGCGACUAGAGUGCGGAAGGGGCAACUGGAAUUCUCGGUGUAGCGGUGAAAUGCGUAGAUAUCGAGAGGAACACCUGCGGCGAAGGCGGGUUGCUGGGCCGACACUGACGCUGAUGCGCGAAAGCCAGGGGAGCGAACGGGAUUAGAUACCCUAGUAGUCC